Molecule: ribosomal RNA, 253 nt
Filed under: uncultured bacterium
Lineage: Bacteria
Description: partial 16S ribosomal RNA
Rfam family: Bacterial small subunit ribosomal RNA
Source: RNAcentral
UACGUAGGGUGCAAGCGUUGUCCGGAAUUAUUGGGCGUAAAGGGCUCGUAGGCGGUUUGUCGCGUCGGGAGUGAAAACUCAGGGCUUAACCCUGAGCCUGCUUCCGAUACGGGCAGACUAGAGGUAUGCAGGGGAGAAUGGAAUUCCUGGUGUAGCGGUGAAAUGCGCAGAUAUCAGGAGGAACACCGGUGGCGAAGGCGGUUCUCUGGGCAUUACCUGACGCUGAGGAGCGAAAGCGUGGGGAGCGAACAGG